UUAGUGGCAGACGGGUGAGUAAUGCAUAGGAAUCUACCUAGUAGUAUGGGAUAGCCACUAGAAAUGGUGGGUAAUACUGUAUAAUCCCUGCGGGGGAAAGAUUUAUCGCUAUUAGAUGAGCCUACGUUAGAUUAGCUAGUUGGUGAGGUAAUGGCUUACCAAGGCUAUGAUCUAUAGCUGGUCUGAGAGGACGAUCAGCCACACUGGAACUGAGAUACGGUCCAGACUCCUACGGGAGGCAGCAGUGGGGAAUAUUGGACAAUGGGCGAAAGCCUGAUCCAGCUAUGCCGCGUGAGUGAAGAAGGCCUUCGGGUUGUAAAACUCU
This 325-nucleotide ribosomal RNA is filed under the name uncultured Ehrlichia sp. RNAcentral's name for it is "bacterial SSU rRNA". It matches the Rfam family "Bacterial small subunit ribosomal RNA", at positions 92 to 434 of the family's 1533-position model. Lineage: Bacteria; Pseudomonadati; Pseudomonadota; Alphaproteobacteria; Rickettsiales; Anaplasmataceae. The record is from RNAcentral.